AUGUCAAGCCUCUGAGCUGAAGCUCAGCCAUUGUAACCCCUGUGACCUGCACAUAUAUGUCCAGAUGGCCUGCAGGAGCCAAGAAGUCUGGAGUAGCUGAAAAACGACAAAAGAAGUGAAACAGCUAGCUCCCGCCUUAACUGACUGACCAACCUUAUGACAUUCCACAUUAUGACUUGUUCUGGCCCU
Molecule: non-coding RNA, 189 nt
Filed under: Pongo abelii (Sumatran orangutan)
Lineage: Eukaryota; Metazoa; Chordata; Mammalia; Primates; Hominidae
Source: RNAcentral